This 304-nucleotide unclassified non-coding RNA is filed under the name plant metagenome. RNAcentral describes it as "partial contains 5.8S ribosomal RNA, internal transcribed spacer 2, and large subunit ribosomal RNA". The stretch from base 1 to 105 matches the Rfam family "5.8S ribosomal RNA", at positions 50 to 154 of the family's 154-position model. The record is from RNAcentral.
GAAAUGCGAUAAGUAGUGUGAAUUGCAGAAUUCAGUGAAUCAUCGAAUCUUUGAACGCACAUUGCGCCCUUUGGUAUUCCUUAGGGCAUGCCUGUUCGAGCGUCAUCUAAACCUUCAAGCCCUGCUUGGUGUUGGGUGCCUGUCCCGCCUCCGCGCGCGGACUCACCUCAAAUCCAUUGGCGGCCCCCGCGUCGGCCACGAGCGCAGCAGAAACGCGAACUCGUGAGCCCGUCCGGGCGGCUCCCAGAAGCUACACCCACCCAGUUUGACCUCGGAUCAGGUAGGGAUACCCGCUGAACUGAAG